CAGCUAGCCGCGGCCGGAGGGGCGGCGCGAGCGGCGGGGCACGGCCUGGUGGCGGCAGCGCCGGUGCGACGGGGGCGCAGCCGAGCGGAGGAAGAGUUCGACCCUGGCGUUGGCACUGGGCACGGCAGACCGAGGAUGGCGCGACGAUGCCAGCGGCUGGGCGGAGCCUGCUUCUGGGGCGCGCGGUGGCUGCCGUCGGAGGAGGAGGAGGAGGCCAGCUGGCACGACGAGCCGCUGAUGGUCGCGCCGGACAGGCUGGACGCGCUCGGGCUGUACAUGACGGGCGGCACCGCUGGCAACGACGCCCCGCGGAUCGACCCUCCCGCCAAGGACGUGUCGUCGCUUCCACGCUGCAGUGCGCUGUUAAUUAACAUGCCAAUCAAUUUCCUAUAUCAAGCAGAAUACAAGAACAAUAAUGCUAUUGAGUUAUAUUACAUUGAUUUUAUCGUCUGCCCAUUAGCAGUUUGGAACAUUGUUUGCAAGGAACGAAUUAAUGGUACUGAAAAUUGGGCCACAUUAGCUGCAGAAGGACUCAAGGAAGUCUCUGUGUCAUACGGAAGUGAAGGUAAAGAGGAGCCUAAGAAAGCAUUCCCCAUGGGACGAUAUAUGUUAGACAAGGAACGAGAAAUGACUUCAUGUAUAGAUAAAGAUGGUCUAAGGGAAUUUUCGGUGUCAUAUGGAAGUAAAGGUGAAGUGGUGACUCGGAAAGCAUUUCCCAUGGAACGAUAUGUGCUAGACAAAGAACCUAAAAGGAAUCUGCACAGAAACAAAGAUGAACUUAGAGAAGUCUCGGUGUUGUAUGGCUCAAAAGGGAAGCUAAAAAAUUUGUUCCCCACUGGGUAUGGACAUAAGAAACAUAAGCAUGCAAAUGAAGCAGAACUAAAGGAGGUCUCAGUGUCGUAUGGAAGUAACAAUGAAGAGAAGCCAAGGAAAGCAUUUCUUAGAGGAGGGCUUUUUUUAGGCAAUGAAUAUGAAAAGUCUCUACACAUAGACAAAGAGGACCUCAAAGAAGUCUCAGUGUCAUAUGGCUCAAAUGUGAAACUAAGCAAUUUGUUCCCAACAGGGUAUGCACAUCAGAAAUAUAUAUUAACAAGCGGAGCUGGACUAAAGGAAGUCUCCGUGACAUAUGGAAGUGAUGGUGAAGAGGAGCCAAGGAAAACAUUCUCUAAAGUAGGGUAUAUGUUAGAUAAGGAAUGCAAGAAGUCUUCAGAUGUAGACCAAGGGGGACUAAAGGAAGUCUCGGCGUCAUAUGGAAGUAAUGGUGAAGAGGAGACCAGCAAAACCACUCCUAUGGGAGGAUACAUGGUAGAUAUGAAAAACGAAAAGUCUCUGCAAGCAGAGAAAGAUGGACUAAAGGAAGUCUCGGUGUCAUAUGGAAGUAAUGGUGAAGAGGAUACAAGCAAAACCUUUGCUAUGGGAGGAUACAUGGUUGAUAAGGAACGUGAAAUGUCUCUACAAGGACAGAAAGAGGAGACAAGAAAAAUCAUUCCUAUGAAAGGAUACAUGGAAGACAGGGAACACGAAAAGUCCCUACAAGCGGAGAAAGGAAUGGAUCAUGGACGCCAUGUUCACGCACACGGCAACAAGAUGCAGCAACUGGCCGACGUCUUCUUCUUCCGCGACGCCCUCCGGCCGGGCUCCGUCAUCACGCCGACCAUCCCGCCGACGACCUCGCUGCCGGCCUUCCUCCCUCGCCACGUCGCCGACGCCAUCCCGUUCUCCGCCGACCGCUUUGCCGACGUCCUCGCCAUGUUCGCGCCGGCGUCCCUCGCCAUGGCGCGCGAGAUACGGUGGGCGCUCGACACCUGCGGCCAGCGGGCGGCGGCGCUGCUCCCGGGCGAGAAGGCCGGCUGCGCCACCUCCCUCGAGUCGCUCGCCGACCUCGCCGCGUCGCUCCUCGGGACGCGCGACGUCCGCGCGUUCUCCGCCGCCGACCUGCCCACCGACGCCGCGACCACGCCGGCGCGGCGCGGGAGGUACAACGUGACGUCCGUGCGGGAGCUCUCGGCGAUGGCUGGUUCCGGUUCGUCGUCGUCGUCGGAGCCGGCGCCGGCUGCCGUCGUGGCGUGCCACGACCUGACGUACCCGUACGCCGUGUUCUACUGCCACAGUACCAAGCCGACCGCCGCGUACGCGGUGACGCUGGUGGCGGCGACCACCGGGGACGGCGACGGCGAAGGCGAGGCGGCCUCGCCGGCGAAGAUGGAGGCGCUCGCCGUGUGCCACCUGGACACGUCGCGGUGGAGGGCGGACAACCCGUUCUUCGUGGCGCACGGCGUCAAGCCGGGGGAGGUGUCCGUGUGCCACUUCCUCACCAAGCUCAGCAUCGUCUGGGUCCCACGCCACGAGCAGGGGGGCCCACGCGCAGCAGCUUAAUCAUCAUCGAUGAUGUAAACACGCUCUACAACCUAAAGUGAACAAUUUGGCGUGGUUUGUGCGUAAUUUGCAGCAACGGUCGAUCGAGCUAUCUACUUAUAUAGUAUGUAAAAAGUGAAUAAUUCAGUUUGUCAUCGUGUGAACCACAUGUGUGCUGCAUAUUUGUGCGUGUGCAUGUUCAUAAUUA
Molecule: long non-coding RNA, 2563 nt
Filed under: Oryza sativa Indica Group (long-grained rice)
Lineage: Eukaryota; Viridiplantae; Streptophyta; Magnoliopsida; Poales; Poaceae
Description: lncRNA OsZS97_06G012500
Source: RNAcentral